GGAGAGAUAGCUCAGUGGUUAAGAGCACUGCCUUCUCUACCAGAGGACCUGGGUUCAACUCCCAGUAUCCACA
RNAcentral lists this transfer RNA (73 nucleotides) under Mus musculus (house mouse). It matches the Rfam family "tRNA". From Rfam's summary of the family: Transfer RNA (tRNA) molecules are approximately 80 nucleotides in length. Their secondary structure includes four short double-helical elements and three loops (D, anti-codon, and T loops). Further hydrogen bonds mediate the characteristic L-shaped molecular structure. tRNAs have two regions of fundamental functional importance: the anti-codon, which is responsible for specific mRNA codon recognition, and the 3' end, to which the tRNAs corresponding amino acid is attached (by aminoacyl-tRNA synthetases). tRNAs cope with the degeneracy of the genetic code in two manners: having more than one tRNA (with a specific anti-codon) for a particular amino acid; and 'wobble' base-pairing, i.e. permitting non-standard base-pairing at the 3rd anti-codon position. The record is from Rfam by way of RNAcentral. Lineage: Eukaryota; Metazoa; Chordata; Mammalia; Rodentia; Muridae.